RNAcentral lists this non-coding RNA (148 nucleotides) under Homo sapiens (human). Lineage: Eukaryota; Metazoa; Chordata; Mammalia; Primates; Hominidae. The record is from Rfam by way of RNAcentral.
GCCGGGUGUGGUGGCGUGCACCUGUAAUCCCAGCUACUCGGGAGGCUGAGGCAGGAGAAUUGCUUGAGCCUGGGAAGUGGAGGCUGUAGUGAGCCAAGAUUGUGCCACUGCACUCCAGCCUGGGUGAGAGAGCUAGACUCUGUCUCAA